ACCCCCGCCCUGGUGACAAGGUCUUCUUUUGAGGCCAUUACAAUGACGACGGGAGAAGCUCCAGUCUUGCUUCUUGCAUGAAUUCUGGGUAGCAGAACACUUAAGGAGACAGGAAUUCUUGCUCUGGGACAGUUGGCCUAGUUGGCCGGAUACUUUAGCUUGCUGGACACUGCCUACUCUGGACACAGCUGCAGCUGAGAGAUCCUGGGACAUCUGACUUACCGCCGGCAGAAGUUCUCAUAGCCAUACAUGACUCAGUGAAAAUGAAGACCCACUAGCCUAUUGCAGCAGUUUCCAAAGUAAAAUAUAAAGAUGAUUGAUUCACUAAGGAUUUCCAAGACACAAUUUGUUUGGGGAGGAAGUCGGCUUAUUGUCAUUGAACCAUGCCGAGAUGCUGCAUAUUCCUGCCUCCCUGGGCAUCGCUGUCUCUGAAGGCACAGAAUUCCAUGAUCAUUAUCACUAUAACUUUCCAGACCAGCUCAGUUUUGCCCCUCUUAUUCCACUAUGUAUUAUGUGGCACUGUCCAACUCCUGUAAUAGCAUGUUUGUUUUACUUUGUUUUAAUUUUCGUAGACUACCUCAGAGUUCUUUCUUCAAUACAAACGGAUUUGGCAACAUUUCAGAUGUAACAAACAUCUUAGCAGAUACCUUAAGGGUUGGACAUUAUACAAAGUCAUUUUUCUGCCAAGCAAAUUUCUUCACAAUCUGUAAGAUUUAUUUCCAAUGUAAUAUUUUGACAUUAAAUUUUAAAAAAUGGAAAAGCAGUACAACCUUAUCCAAAAUCUUCUACCAGAAUAUCUGAAAAGCCCUAGAGCUGACAUUUAAAUUUUGUCCUGAUUUCUACCCUGGUAUUUAAAUUUAAAAUAUUAACAUUUUCCUGAAAGAUAAAUUCACUGUGAUGAAAAAGAAUCUGCACUGAUGAUAAAAAGAAGCCUGGCUUUUAGAAUAUCA
Molecule: long non-coding RNA, 950 nt
Organism: Suricata suricatta (meerkat)
Lineage: Eukaryota; Metazoa; Chordata; Mammalia; Carnivora; Herpestidae
Exons: 4
Source: RefSeq, a predicted model, not a curated record